This is a long non-coding RNA of Centruroides sculpturatus (bark scorpion), 694 nucleotides long. RefSeq lists it as uncharacterized. The transcript is spliced from 3 exons. NCBI's taxonomy places the organism in Eukaryota, Metazoa, Arthropoda, Arachnida, Scorpiones, Buthidae. The record is from RefSeq and is a predicted model, not a curated record.
ACACGGUUUGUUUUUAGAAAUGUAUAAGAAGUCUCAGAAAGCUAAGUGUUUCGGGUUCGAUCUCUAAGAAGACGGAUGAUGGAGAAGAAAUUUUGAUCAAAGAUAUUUUCUUAAACGAGUUUUCCUUUGAUAUCCUACACUUUGCAGACGUUUCUUGAGUUAAUGGUUUCAAUUUUCAGAGUUUUCUGUAAUGAUUUUAUUACUUUUCGGAAACUAUCCAUGGGAGUAAUGAAACUAUCUUUCAUGACAUUUGUAAGCAGGAAACGCGUACUUUUCUAUAUUAAUAACUAGGCUAAUAUGUGGGGGUGGACGGCUAGAUGAUCGAGGCGGUUAAGGGAAGUCAGCCUAUCUUCUCUGAGUGACCUCGGAUCAAGUCCAAGCGGAAGAAAAAUCCAAGGAAUUUUUCGGGGAUGAUCUAUCAUUGUAUCGGACCCUUCCUUCACUGUCUGAUCGGCUCCAUUGUGAGCUUGGCCGAAUUUACGUUGGGUAGGAAGAAAAGGUUCUCUUAGUGCUCAAAGAGCGGAAAGAAUAAAAAAAGGAACAAUGAUAUGUGCAGACCUACAUGUAUCUGAACAUUACAGACCUGUUCGUUUAGUUGAGAUAGGUUUAGUGCCCACUUCUACGUCAAUUUGAUGUCAUUUCUACAGUUUUACAACGAGUAAAUGUUAAAAUGAAGUCAAAUUUAUAUAUUAAA